Molecule: small nuclear RNA, 107 nt
Filed under: Echinops telfairi (small Madagascar hedgehog)
Lineage: Eukaryota; Metazoa; Chordata; Mammalia; Afrosoricida; Tenrecidae
Source: RNAcentral
GUGUUUGCUUUGACAGCACAUGUGCUAAAAUUGGAACAACACAGAGAAGAUUAGCAUGGCCCUUGCUCAAGGAUGACACGCAAAUUCGUGAAGUGUUCCAUAUUAAA